GACGAACGCUGGCGGCGCGCCUAACACAUGCAAGUCGAACGAGCGAGAGAGAGCUUGCUUUCUCAAGCGAGUGGCGAAUGGGUGAGUAACGCGUGAGGAACCUGCCUCAAAGAGGGGGACAACAGUUGGAAACGACUGCUAAUACCGCAUAAGCCCACAGGUCGGCAUCGACCAGAGGGAAAAGGAGCAAUCCGCUUUGAGAUGGCCUCGCGUCCGAUUAGCUAGUUGGUGAGGUAACGGCCCACCAAGGCAACGAUCGGUAGCCGGACUGAGAGGUUGAACGGCCACAUUGGGACUGAGACACGGCCCAGACUCCUACGGGAGGCAGCAGUGGGGAAUAUUGCACAAUGGGGGAAACCCUGAUGCAGCGACGCCGCGUGGAGGAAGAAGGUCUUCGGAUUGUAAACUCCUGUUGUUGAGGAAGAUAAUGACGGUACUCAACAAGGAAGUGACGGCUAACUACGUG
RNAcentral lists this ribosomal RNA (466 nucleotides) under uncultured bacterium. RNAcentral's name for it is "partial 16S ribosomal RNA". It matches the Rfam family "Bacterial small subunit ribosomal RNA", at positions 28 to 507 of the family's 1533-position model. The record is from RNAcentral.